AACCAUAUGGUAAUAAUAUCUCAUGGUUUCCUAUGGUUUUUCUUGGUUCAUUGAUUCCCUAAAAGGAAAUAAUAUCUCAUGGUUUCACAAGGCAAGAAUCACCAUAACUUCUUGAUUUGAAAUGGAUCACACAAGUAUCUCCAUGACUCCAAAUAAGACAAGUAGUCAUACAUUCCUUUAUUGUUGAUCCUCACGGCCAAACUUGAUUGAUAUGAUCAUAUCCAGAUUCAUUGUACCUCCUCAAGGUAAGAUACACGCCUAAUCCAUAUAUGGAAGGUAGCAAUUUCAUUUAUUUGAAUUUCUUACCCCCUACCUUAAUUGUAUUCCGAUUAACUCUUCAUUUGGCAAGUCAUAAUCCCUUGUAAUAGAAUUGAAUCAUACGCCUUCUUGGAAAUGAAAUUAUCACACAACUUGCAC
RNAcentral lists this long non-coding RNA (417 nucleotides) under Lupinus angustifolius (narrow-leaved blue lupine). RNAcentral describes it as "long non-coding RNA (LANG_LNC002477)". Lineage: Eukaryota; Viridiplantae; Streptophyta; Magnoliopsida; Fabales; Fabaceae. The record is from RNAcentral.